CCUACGGGUGGCUGCAGUAACGAAUCUUCCGCAAUGCACGAAAGUGUGACGGAGCGACGCCGCGUGUGGGACGAAGCCCUUCGGGGUGUAAACCACUGUCAGGGGUAAGAAAGUUCUGAUCUACCCCAGAGGAAGGCACGGCUAACUCUGUGCCAGCAGCCGCGGUAAGACAGAGGUGCCGAGCGUUAGGCGGAAUCACUGGGCUUAAAGCGUGUGUAGGCGGAUUGGUAAGUACCUUGUGAAAUCCCACAGCUUAACUGUGGAACUGCUUGGUAUACUGCUUAUCUUGGGCCACUUAGGGGUUACCGGAACAAACGGUGGAGCGGUGAAAUGCGUAGAUAUCGUUUGGAACGCCAAUGGUGAAAACAGGUAACUGGGAGUGUGCCGACGCUGAGACACGAAAGCCAGGGGAGCGAACGGGAUUAGAUACCCUAGUAGUC
This 440-nucleotide ribosomal RNA is filed under the name uncultured bacterium. Its description in RNAcentral is "bacterial SSU rRNA". It matches the Rfam family "Bacterial small subunit ribosomal RNA", at positions 338 to 795 of the family's 1533-position model. The record is from RNAcentral.